CCUUGUAUAAGCCAUAGGCAAUCCUCCCCUUGAGCUAGCUUUUGAGGUGAGUUAGGCCUGACUCAAAUUUAACUAUAUAUAUAUAUAUAAGUAAAGAGAAGAGAGAGACAGAGAGAGGAUGAUUACAAUAAGGAGGACAAGCUAUACUUAGGUAACAGGAAUAGAAAAUAAAAGAAAAAUUAAUAAAGCCAUCCAGUCAUGUUGGAAGCUUGCAAAAAGCAAGGCCUUUCAAAGGCCCAAAAGUAUAAACAUUUAAGAAGCUAAAGGUACAUUUUUAUCCCACAAUUACCAUUACAUAAAAGAAUUAUCCUUAAUCUUUGCAUUUCACACCAACCAAAUACACAAUCCCCAUGCACAUAGCAGAACAAACUAUAAACAAUGUGCCUUCCGUCGUCCAAAUCCUCUAAAUUGUGUUUAUAAAGCAUCUCCAAAAAUUGCUGGCCCAAUGCAAUACUCAGAAAAAUCAAAAGGAUAAUUCUAAUAUACCAAAAUGUAAAACUACAUUGAGAACUAUAAUAAACCUAAUAUUCUUUGUGAUUCUGUAAUUAUCUUAUACAAGUAAAGGUUAGUAACACAUGCUUAAUGAGUUGCAAAGAGAGCAAUUUAAGAAAAAAUUAAAUGAAAUCAGGCAGACUCAUUGUGUGAUGAGCAUUUCACGUGCCACCACAAAAGGUGCCAAAAAUAAAGAUGACAUAAGUUAUCUAGGAUUGUUCUUUUACAAUUAAAACAAUAUAUUUGAAGAAUUUUGGGAAAUUUUAGAGUAUUCUUAUACUUCACUCUUAAUCUUUACAAUUGGUUUACAUGAUUAUUUAUACACAAAAAAUUACAACUAAACAAGAAACAAAUAAUCAAAUAAUAAUUACAAAGAUAAUUAAGGAUCCUAAUCAAAUUAUAUCCUUAGAAUCAGCAAAUAAGUCAAAGCUCCCCAACUAGCAAAUCAGAUUAUGAUAGAUCUUAUUGUUGAACCCUUUAGUAAACACAUCUGCAAGUUGCCCAGUAAAAGUCACGUGAACUCAGCUCAAAGACACUGUCUGUUAAAUUUUCUUUAAUGAAGUGCCGAUCAAUUUCAAUGUGGUUCGUUCGGUCAUAUUGGACUGAAUUUUGUGUUAUACUGAUGGUAGCUUUGUUGUCACAAUACAAAACUAUUGUGUUUCUUCACACACACAUUGGGCUAUUGAGCAACAACACUUUAUCUUUUGCUCCUCCAAGUGACAAGAUUCUUAGCCAGAGGUGGAUCUCUUGUCAUCGAGAGAUUCUAUCCAAAAUGCAUAUGUAAAUGUUUCAACUCGGGAGUGACCAUGUUUGAAGUAAAAAAGCCAUUUCCCUAGCGUAGACUUGAAGUAUUUUAAUGCGAAGUACAGCCUGUAUAUGAGUCUCGCGAACCUGUAUAUGAGCCUCGCGAGUGUACUUCCUUUGGGAGAUCAAUUACCUAGAAAAUAUUGCAGUUUUCCUAAAUCUUUGAUUUCAAAGUCUUGAGCCAACAACCUUUUUAGUUGAGUCAUUUUCUCUUUGUCAUCACCUAUCACCAGUAUAUCAUCAACAUACACAAUAAGAAGAGUGAUCUUACCUUGUGAUGUUUAAUAAACAGAGUGUGAUCAACAUUACUCUGUUGAUAACCAAAGGACAUCAUGGUUAUGCUAACCCUAUCAAACCAAGUUAUGAGAGAUUGUUUUAGCCUAUACAAUUUAACCUGCAUGAUUUUCCUUGUGUCUUCUCAUCAACGAACCCAAGAAGGAUCUCCAUGAACACUUUUUCCUCUAAAUCUCCAUGGAGAAAAGCAUUCUCACAUCAAACUGCUGUAAUUUCUAGUCAAAGUUGGCUGCACAAAAUAAUAGGACUAUGAUUGAAUUCAUUUUUGUAAUUGGGGCAAAUAUUUCUUAAUAAUCCACUCCAUAAGUUUGGAUUAAUCCUUUAGCAACCAAUCUGGCCUUAAACCAUUCAAUUGUGCCAUCAGUUUUGUAUUUCACUGUGAACACCUACUUUCAUCCCUUCAAUCAUUGCUCCCUUCUAUUUAGAAUCUACAAGAGCUUCCUUCCAAAGGAAUAGAUACAAAAAAAAUAGACAAGACAAAAGUUCUAUAGGAAGGAGACAAUGACGAAAUAUGGUGUUUAGUACAAGAUCUGACUCCUUUUUUGUGCAAAAGAUUUAUCUAAGUUAUUGGAGUAUUCAAGAGUUGUGGGUAACUCACUAAAAGAAGACUAUUGACUCUGAGUAGACUACAUAAUAGCUUCUUCUGUCUUGCCUCUCCUCGAAUACCUCCUCAAAUCUAUUUUGUCCAAACGUCCAAUUCUCUCUCUCCUCUGAUUGGACAUCUCUCCCUGUCUACUAGAACUCAAACUCUCUAGUUGAACCAUAUCAUUUAGAAUCACAGAAUUCGAGAUCACCUCUUCUUACUCAUUUUUCUGCCCCUGAAGAGGUGAGUGGAUGGUACUGAAAUAAGAUUCAGUUUCUCGAAAGAUAAUAUUCAUACUAAUAAAAUAUUUUCUAGAUGGAGGGUGAUAACACCUAUAUCCUUUCUGUAUUGGAAAAUACCCAACAAAUACACAUUUGAAGGCCUUGGGGUCUAACUUUCCCGCCGUCCUAAUAUGGACAAAGCAAACACACCCAAAUACUUUUGUUUGAACAAUAUAUAAAUUCUUCCCUUCUAGAACCUUUAAAGGACUCAUUAAGUCAAUGACCUUGAGGGGCAUUCCAUUGAUAAGAUAGGCAUAUACAAGGACUGCAUCUCCCUUGUUGAAUCCCACAUCGGUUGUGGAAAGGGGUAAUGUGCCCCUUAUAUGGACCAUAGACACUCCUCCCCCUUAAGCUAGCUUUUGGGGUGAGUUAGGCCUGGCACAAAUUUAACAUCCCCAAAGCAUAUAUGCUUUGGAUAGGUUCAUGGUAAACAUAAGAGAUUGAGCUACCUCCAAUAGAUGCCUAUUUUUUCUUUAAGCAAUGUCAUUUUGAGUACUUGUAUAAAGACAACUGAUCUGGUGUACUGUCCCAUUAUUCUUCUCCAAAUAAGCAAAAAAACUACUAUCCAUGUAUUCUCUUCCAUUGUCAAUUCUAGUAUCAAAUUGAAUACAAAUCAUUUUAUAACAGGAUUGAAAACAAGAAAAAAUUACUUUUAGCCUUAAUCAAAUAAACCCAAAUCAUUCGAGUGCAACAAUCAAUAAAGAGACUGUUUAAGUAAGCCUCCAAAUAUCAGAAUGAAUAAUCACAAUUGAAUCCAACAUCGGUUGUGGAAAGGGGUAAUGUGCCCCUUAUAUGGGCCAUAGGCACUCCUCCCCCUUGAGCUAGCUUUUGGGGCGAGUUAAAUCUGGCCCAAAUUUAAC
RNAcentral lists this long non-coding RNA (3314 nucleotides) under Manihot esculenta (cassava). RNAcentral describes it as "long non-coding RNA (MESC_LNC003586)". The record is from RNAcentral. Lineage: Eukaryota; Viridiplantae; Streptophyta; Magnoliopsida; Malpighiales; Euphorbiaceae.